GCACCAAUACAAUAUCUGAAAAUAACAGGGAAAGCACUAGUGGAACAUACUCCACAAGCUCAUGACUACAUCUAAUCUAGAAUAUAAAAGAUAGGCAUCCUCGAAAGAAAGAGGGACUACCAAGUCCGGAUGAAUGCUCCACGUCCGGAUAACUUCAGCGUAGUCUUGUAAGCUCUAGCAUUCACCUGCACCUGCACCUAAACGUAGAGAGUUGUAUGGGAUUAGUACACACUUUUACUAAGUAUGGGUAUAUGCAAGCACACACCAAGGACAUGCAUGAUUAAGAAGAGCUCUCUCCUAAUGAUAUGAGUUAUCAAAAGUCAAGUCAGUGGACUUGCCAAAUCGGAUUAGAAAAGUCAUGCUAAGAGAGUAACAUGCAUCAUCAUACAUAUCAUUUUGCAAACAACACAUAACAUAUUGCACAUAUCUUAUCACAUAGUUCAUAUCAUUCCUUCAUAUGUCAUGAGACCUUGGAAUCAUGGACUUGACAUUAAGGCUUCCCAAAUGAGGGCUCAACAUAUGGGACCUCAACUAGGGAGCCUUCUUUAGCAAACACAGAGUCUGCUUCAUUCAUUCAUACGUACUUCUUUUCAUUUAUUCAUAUACUAGUGUAAACACCAUCUAUACCUAGGAUGUAGUUUAAGACUUUCAUCGGGUUUGAUGUGCAAUGACCAAGAAUAACCUAGUGUCAUUACUUAAGUCUAGCUCACCUCUUGAUUAUCCUAUCUUAACACCUUUGGUAUCGUUCAUUUCAUUAUGUGCAUUAUUUGAUGCUGGCCUUAUUCUUUCUUUGGGAACUUUAACCUUAACCGACAUAAAUCAUGUGAGCAUCAUGAAAUCCAGUGUUUAACCACACAACCGAUAAUAGGUGGAGUCACCAUCCAAAGUGAACCAAAACAUGCUAGCAUAUAUAGGGACUCGAACCCUGCUAGAACCCUAUAUUGGCAGUAUAGGUUCAAAGUCUAGGAGAAAUAAGGAGACCCAUGCCUGUCUGUACGGACAGUCUCAUCUCAUGAGAAUUACAUGAACCUCUGCCUUUCUGAAAGAAGGAAUCGUGACUAAUAGCUAGCCUAUCGGUACUCAGUAUAAAGUUCCAUCACAUUCAUCUCAUACAUCAUAGAAGUUGGCUUCAAACAUGGGGCAUCAUAGCUCAUUAGAUGAUUUCUCAUCUCAUCAUUACGUAUUAAGUGUGAAUUGUCCUUGCACUUACAUAUAGAGUGUGAUUGAGUCUUGCCUCUUAAUUUUUAACAUUAUCUUAGGUGAGUAAUUUUGGUGACUUUAUAUUUGGCGUAGGUACAACUCGUCUCACUUGCACUAGCCUCAUAUUGUGAUGCCACUCUAUUCUUUUUAGCAUCUUUUCAUUUCAUCUUUACUCACCUUUUAUUAUUUGUUCAUCGAAUAAUAUACAUAUGCUCUCUUGGAGUUUACAUUGAGGGAAAUUGAUUCUAGACGUAGAUUUAACUUGUCUUACUUGUACUAGCCUAUCCUCUUGUGGCCACUCUUACUUUGCUUGUUCAUCGUUUAGCAUAAAUAUACUCUCUUAGUCAUUUCAUUUAGUAACAUUGAUUUUAGGCGUAGAUGCAACUUGUCUCACUUGCACUAUCCUAUAGUCAUAAAGUCAUUCUUUUCAUUACAUAUUAACUACGAAUUCAUUCAUAAAACUUUCUUUUGGAGUAUGCUUGAGAUUUGACUUUAUAUCUUCUACACUCCCCUUACGUGAAUGUUUCACACUCUUAGUUAAACCUCCUAGGUUCACAUCAUUUCAUUACAUACAUCUUAGGUUCGCUUACUUUUAAACGUAUGUUGGACUUAUGGAUCCAUAGGUACAAGCCAUGAGAUUUCAUUCAUAAUUCGUCUAAGUGACUCAUACUUACCCAAGAUUAAGUGGAACAAGACUUAUGCAUCUUGUUGGUAUGACAAGAUCUUGAUUUUGAUCCUUAGAGGUAGCAUUCAUUAUUUAUUUGUUCACGUACUACUUAUGUGUCAAUACAGAAUUGGGCAAGAAAACCCGAUUUCGAAUUCCUUGAGUAACACUUAUCAUUAUAUUAAACUUGGUACUUGCAUUUUUCAGAUUUAGGGGACCCUAGGUCGAUCCCCAUCACCCCCAUAAUAUUUUCUUUUUUUUCCCUCCUCUCUUUCUCGUUUAAGGCAAAGAGGUUGUGGGAUCAAUCCCCCCACAAGCUUAUUCUUUUUCUCUUAAUUUUUCUCUAAACUUUCUCACCUAUCCAAGAGGUUGUGGGUUCAAUCCCCACUUACCUCAUUUUAUUUUUCUCUUAACUCUCUCAUCUAUUCAAUAGGUUGGGGGUUCAAUCCCCACUUACCUCAUCUUAUUUUUCUCCUUUGUUUUUCUCGUAAAUCUCUCAUCUAUUCAAGAGGUUGUGGGUUCAAUCCCCACUCACCUCAUUUUAUUUUUCUCCUAACUCUCUCAUCUAUUUAAGAGGUUGUGGGUUCAAUCCCACUCACCACAUUUAUUUUUCCUUCAUUUUUCUCAUGAAAUUUUUAUGUAAUUUGCAUUUGGUGAGGUCUUGGGUUCAAUCCUCAAUGACCUCAUAGUUUUUAAAACUCUUUAAAACAUAGCUAAAUUUUCAAAUUUUUGGCCUAGACCAACAUUUUCAGCAAGCUGGAAAUUUUGUCUCUUUCAAUCCAUCUUUCUCUCAAGUUUUUAUAUUGAUUAUUGGAGUAAUUCGGGUGACAUUUUUCCAACAAGAUUACCCUUAUUUGAACAUCACACUUUUAACAUUUUCAUACACGAAAACACAACAUUUUUAACAUACAAAUUUCAGGCGGCAACAUAGUUAAUUUACAGCACACAUAUGCUUAAACAGUUAACUUAAUACACUUUUCCGGAAUACAUAUUUCAUUCCUUACAUAAUUUCCAAAUACACAUUCAAUACAUAAUCACAACUAGACUUAAAAUUAUCUAUCAGAAUAUAUACCAAGUAAUACUUUGAAUCUUUUAAAUGAUUUAAUGACAGAUGCAUGCAACGGGGACAACCUUAGCUUCUCGAUGGAAUUUAAACUGAACUUAGGGGUCUCUUGGAAAGGACCAAGAGAGAAGAAACCCAUACCUUAAAGUCGUUCAACACUUGUUUCAAUGUUUCCUAUUCCCACAACAUCAUUGCCUCAUCAUCAAAAUCCAAAACUCAAUUCGUCGAGAAGAAUGUUGUUGAUUUUCGUUUUUAGCUUAGAUUUUCGCUUGAGUUUUUGUGUGUAAGUUCUUCA
Molecule: long non-coding RNA, 3222 nt
Filed under: Solanum lycopersicum (tomato)
Lineage: Eukaryota; Viridiplantae; Streptophyta; Magnoliopsida; Solanales; Solanaceae
Description: long non-coding RNA (SLYC_LNC001149)
Source: RNAcentral